RNAcentral lists this ribosomal RNA (1562 nucleotides) under Escherichia coli. Its description in RNAcentral is "partial 23S ribosomal RNA". It matches the Rfam family "Bacterial large subunit ribosomal RNA", at positions 323 to 1874 of the family's 2925-position model. Lineage: Bacteria; Pseudomonadati; Pseudomonadota; Gammaproteobacteria; Enterobacterales; Enterobacteriaceae. The record is from RNAcentral.
UGUGUGUUAGUGGAAGCGUCUGGAAAGGCGCGCGAUACAGGGUGACAGCCCCGUACACAAAAAUGCACAUGCUGUGAGCUCGAUGAGUAGGGCGGGACACGUGGUAUCCUGUCUGAAUAUGGGGGGACCAUCCUCCAAGGCUAAAUACUCCUGACUGACCGAUAGUGAACCAGUACCGUGAGGGAAAGGCGAAAAGAACCCCGGCGAGGGGAGUGAAAAAGAACCUGAAACCGUGUACGUACAAGCAGUGGGAGCACGCUUCGGCGUGUGACUGCGUACCUUUUGUAUAAUGGGUCAGCGACUUAUAUUCUGUAGCAAGGUUAACCGAAUAGGGGAGCCGAAGGGAAACCGAGUCUUAACUGGGCGUUAAGUUGCAGGGUAUAGACCCGAAACCCGGUGAUCUAGCCAUGGGCAGGUUGAAGGUUGGGUAACACUAACUGGAGGACCGAACCGACUAAUGUUGAAAAAUUAGCGGAUGACUUGUGGCUGGGGGUGAAAGGCCAAUCAAACCGGGAGAUAGCUGGUUCUCCCCGAAAGCUAUUUAGGUAGCGCCUCGUGAAUUCAUCUCCGGGGGUAGAGCACUGUUUCGGCAAGGGGGUCAUCCCGACUUACCAACCCGAUGCAAACUGCGAAUACCGGAGAAUGUUAUCACGGGAGACACACGGCGGGUGCUAACGUCCGUCGUGAAGAGGGAAACAACCCAGACCGCCAGCUAAGGUCCCAAAGUCAUGGUUAAGUGGGAAACGAUGUGGGAAGGCCCAGACAGCCAGGAUGUUGGCUUAGAAGCAGCCAUCAUUUAAAGAAAGCGUAAUAGCUCACUGGUCGAGUCGGCCUGCGCGGAAGAUGUAACGGGGCUAAACCAUGCACCGAAGCUGCGGCAGCGACACUGUGUGUUGUUGGGUAGGGGAGCGUUCUGUAAGCCUGUGAAGGUGUACUGUGAGGUAUGCUGGAGGUAUCAGAAGUGCGAAUGCUGACAUAAGUAACGAUAAAGCGGGUGAAAAGCCCGCUCGCCGGAAGACCAAGGGUUCCUGUCCAACGUUAAUCGGGGCAGGGUGAGUCGACCCCUAAGGCGAGGCCGAAAGGCGUAGUCGAUGGGAAACAGGUUAAUAUUCCUGUACUUGGUGUUACUGCGAAGGGGGGACGGAGAAGGCUAUGUUGGCCGGGCGACGGUUGUCCCGGUUUAAGCGUGUAGGCUGGUUUUCCAGGCAAAUCCGGAAAAUCAAGGCUGAGGCGUGAUGACGAGGCACUACGGUGCUGAAGCAACAAAUGCCCUGCUUCCAGGAAAAGCCUCUAAGCAUCAGGUAACAUCAAAUCGUACCCCAAACCGACACAGGUGGUCAGGUAGAGAAUACCAAGGCGCUUGAGAGAACUCGGGUGAAGGAACUAGGCAAAAUGGUGCCGUAACUUCGGGAGAAGGCACGCUGAUAUGUAGGUGAAGCGACUUGCUCGUGGAGCUGAAAUCAGUCGAAGAUACCAGCUGGCUGCAACUGUUUAUUAAAAACACAGCACUGUGCAAACACGAAAGUGGACGUAUACGGUGUGACGCCUGCCCGGUGCCGGAA